UCGGUGAACCAGGGCGAAACCCUGAACCGUCCAGACCCAGGCGCCGCACAGAAGCGCCACCAAGCCCAGAGCCGUAAACGGCAGAUGCACUCCCCACGGACGCGAACCGCUGCCCCCCCGGCGAAUCACGCCGAAGAUCCAGUCCACCAUCCGCGCAGGAGCCAAACCCACCGGUCCAUCCCAGCUCGACGCAGGGAUUCACCUGAGCCAACGCCGGAUCCCUGCAGACACCGCCCUGGCGCACCGCCGCCAAAGAUGCACCGGAGCCACAGUGUGGACUUUACAAAGAGUGUGUAAAGUAGCAGAGCAACCAGCACACCUGUGUUGCCUACCGCCAUCCUUCAAUUGAUGCUGUCUGUCCCAUACGCAGCUCUACAUAUCGUUCCAACCUGAUGAUCCAACUGUCUCAACUCAUUCAGGAUGGCACUUCCACUGCUGCGGCCGAUGUGAUUCUCCACAUUACAGGUGUAGUUGCCCAUGUCUGUCUCCUCCACAGCAUCAAACAUCAGAGAAAGCUCCACCUCCUUCUCCCCCAGAAACUCCCGCACCACCCUACACAAACA
Long non-coding RNA from Xyrauchen texanus (razorback sucker), 563 nucleotides. RefSeq lists it as uncharacterized. The record is from RefSeq and is a predicted model, not a curated record. NCBI's taxonomy places the organism in Eukaryota, Metazoa, Chordata, Actinopteri, Cypriniformes, Catostomidae. The transcript has 3 exons.